Olea europaea var. sylvestris is the source of this 532-nucleotide long non-coding RNA. RefSeq lists it as uncharacterized. The transcript is spliced from 2 exons. The record is from RefSeq and is a predicted model, not a curated record. NCBI's taxonomy places the organism in Eukaryota, Viridiplantae, Streptophyta, Magnoliopsida, Lamiales, Oleaceae.
UUGGAAUUUCAAUAAAGAAUCACGUUUUCAGCAAUUUUGUUUUCCACGUUCAUCUUCAAAAGGUGAGAUGCUCAGUGCUAUUAGUGGUUUGUCCACAUCUUUUCAAAUACGUUGUUAUGUAUGGAUUUAAUUACUUCAGUUCAGAGCUCCUUUUGGGAGAAAUCAUGAUAUAGUUUAAGGCACAAUUUAGCCUUCACGUUAUUUGUAGCGCUUGCUUGAAUUAUCAUUUGUCAUGGUGUGAUAAUUCUCAUGUUAUGUUGGUAGAAAUUAGUAUGCUGGACGGCGGUGGAUGGAUGCAUAUUGGACCAAUGGAUCUCCAUCAUGAAGUACUCUAAUUUUUAGAAACACUAGAAUAUUUAUUAACAUUUGAUUAUUAUUAUUUUUAAAUUUAGACUCAAUUGUGAGUCACGUCAUAACUUUCAAUUAGUCCUAUUUUUAUUAUUUGUUAGAACUACUUUUAUUAAUGUUUGAUAAAAGAUAUGAUUCCAAAUUGUUCCGCAUAUGUUAUUUAAUUUAAUUUACCUUUUGUUAA